UACGAAGGGUGCAAGCGUUACUCGGAAUUAUUGGGCGUAAAGCGCGCGCAGGUGGUCUCUUAAGUCUGAUGUGAAAGCCCACGGCUCAACCGUGGAGGGUCAUUGGAAACUGGGGAACUUGAGUGCAGGAGAGAAGAGUGGAAUUCCACGUGUAGCGGUGAAAUGCGUAGAUAUCUGGAGGAACACCGGUGGCGAAGGCGGCAUCCUGGACCAAUAUUGACGCUGAGGAGCGAAAGCCAGGGGAGCAAACGGG
This 253-nucleotide ribosomal RNA is filed under the name uncultured bacterium. RNAcentral's name for it is "partial 16S ribosomal RNA". It matches the Rfam family "Bacterial small subunit ribosomal RNA", at positions 524 to 776 of the family's 1533-position model. The record is from RNAcentral.